Molecule: non-coding RNA, 25 nt
Filed under: Drosophila melanogaster (fruit fly)
Lineage: Eukaryota; Metazoa; Arthropoda; Insecta; Diptera; Drosophilidae
Source: RNAcentral
UAAUUACCAGAGCUAACGAUCCCUA